AGCGAACGCUGGCGGCAGGCUUAACACAUGCAAGUCGAGCGGGCACUUCGGUGUCAGCGGCAGACGGGUGAGUAACACGUGGGAACGUACCCUUUGGUUCGGAAUAACGCUGGGAAACUAGCGCUAAUACCGGAUACGCCCUUUUGGGGAAAGGCUUGCUGCCGAAGGAUCGGCCCGCGUCUGAUUAGCUAGUUGGUGGGGUAAUGGCCUACCAAGGCGACGAUCAGUAGCUGGUCUGAGAGGAUGAUCAGCCACACUGGGACUGAGACACGGCCCAGACUCCUACGGGAGGCAGCAGUGGGGAAUAUUGGACAAUGGGCGCAAGCCUGAUCCAGCCAUGCCGCGUGAGUGAUGAAGGCCUUAGGGUUGUAAAGCUCUUUUGUCCGGGACGAUAAUGACGGUACCGGAAGAAUAAGCCCCGUCUAACUUCGUG
RNAcentral lists this ribosomal RNA (433 nucleotides) under uncultured bacterium. RNAcentral's name for it is "partial 16S ribosomal RNA". It matches the Rfam family "Bacterial small subunit ribosomal RNA", at positions 29 to 507 of the family's 1533-position model. The record is from RNAcentral.